Molecule: ribosomal RNA, 857 nt
Filed under: Bacillus aerophilus
Lineage: Bacteria; Bacillati; Bacillota; Bacilli; Caryophanales; Bacillaceae
Description: bacterial SSU rRNA
Rfam family: Bacterial small subunit ribosomal RNA
Source: RNAcentral
CGAGCGGACAGAAGGGAGCUUGCUCCCGGAUGUUAGCGGCGGACGGGUGAGUAACACGUGGGUAACCUGCCUGUAAGACUGGGAUAACUCCGGGAAACCGGAGCUAAUACCGGAUAGUUCCUUGAACCGCAUGGUUCAAGGAUGAAAGACGGUUUCGGCUGUCACUUACAGAUGGACCCGCGGCGCAUUAGCUAGUUGGUGAGGUAACGGCUCACCAAGGCGACGAUGCGUAGCCGACCUGAGAGGGUGAUCGGCCACACUGGGACUGAGACACGGCCCAGACUCCUACGGGAGGCAGCAGUAGGGAAUCUUCCGCAAUGGACGAAAGUCUGACGGAGCAACGCCGCGUGAGUGAUGAAGGUUUUCGGAUCGUAAAGCUCUGUUGUUAGGGAAGAACAAGUGCAAGAGUAACUGCUUGCACCUUGACGGUACCUAACCAGAAAGCCACGGCUAACUACGUGCCAGCAGCCGCGGUAAUACGUAGGUGGCAAGCGUUGUCCGGAAUUAUUGGGCGUAAAGGGCUCGCAGGCGGUUUCUUAAGUCUGAUGUGAAAGCCCCCGGCUCAACCGGGGAGGGUCAUUGGAAACUGGGAAACUUGAGUGCAGAAGAGGAGAGUGGAAUUCCACGUGUAGCGGUGAAAUGCGUAGAGAUGUGGAGGAACACCAGUGGCGAAGGCGACUCUCUGGUCUGUAACUGACGCUGAGGAGCGAAAGCGUGGGGAGCGAACAGGAUUAGAUACCCUGGUAGUCCACGCCGGAUGAGUGCUAAGUGUUAGGGGGGUUUCCGCCCCUUAGUGCUGCAGCUAACGCAUUAAGCACUCCGCCUGGGGGAGUACGGUCGCAAGACUGAAACUCAAA